Molecule: long non-coding RNA, 662 nt
Filed under: Homo sapiens (human)
Lineage: Eukaryota; Metazoa; Chordata; Mammalia; Primates; Hominidae
Description: long non-coding RNA NONHSAT160788.1
Source: RNAcentral
GGCAGGAUCAAAAGCAGCUCCUGCAUGGGGACGCCGUGUCCUCCUGCUGUUAUCAUAGUAUGCCCUGUGCUCCCAGGAGGAGGCUGAGGGCAGGAUGUGGUAGCUAGCCCUCACAAUGGUGGCUGAUGUGUGAUCAAUAGGCUAUGUCAUGGUAUUUCACUUCUAAGUCUAGAUCAUAAAGGGCAUUGUGGCACCUACCUUGAUUUCUCUUGGAUCACUCAUUCUGAGGGAAGAUAGCUGCCAUGUUGGGAGGACGUGCAAGCAGCCCUGUGAAGAGGUCAACACAGGGGGGAACUGAAGCCCCUUCCAAACAGCUAGCACCAACUUGCCAGCCAUGUAAAGUGAUUCACCUUGGAAACAGAUCCUCCAGCCUCAGCCAAGCCUUCAGAUGCAACCUCAUGACAGACUCUGAACCAGAAACACACAGCCAAGCUGCUGACCCACAGACUUUGUGAGAGAUCAUAAACAUUUACUGUUGUUCUAAGACACUGUUUUAGGGUGCUUUGUUGUACAACAAUAGCUUACUGAAAAUACAGAGAGCCUAGCACAGUGCCUGCAUGUGGUCAUCACUCAAUGGUUGAGCGAGUGAAUCUUGCUUAGUAUUGAACACUCCCACUGACAGCUAACUGUACCAUCUCUCAAAACAAUUCAUUCUAUCUUUG